GACGAACGCUGGCGGCGUGCUUAACACAUGCAAGUCGAACGGAAAGGCCUCUUUCGGGGGGUACUCGAGUGGCGAACGGGUGAGUAACACGUGAGUAACCUGCCCUUGACUUUGGGAUAACUUCAGGAAACUGGGGCUAAUACCGGAUAGGAGCUCCUGCUGCAUGGUGGGGGUUGGAAAGUUUCGGCGGUUGGGGAUGGACUCGCGGCUUAUCAGCUUGUUGGUGGGGUAGUGGCUUACCAAGGCUUUGACGGGUAGCCGGCCUGAGAGGGUGACCGGCCACAAUGGGACUGAGAUACGGCCCAGACUCCUACGGGAGGCAGCAGUGGGGAAGAUUGCACAAUGGGUGGAAGCCUGAUGCAGCAACGCCGUGUGCGGGAUGACGGCCUUCGGGUUGUAAACCGCUUUCGCUCAUGACGAAGCUUUGUGUGACGGUAGUGGGUAAAGAAGCACCGGCUAACUACGUG
RNAcentral lists this ribosomal RNA (467 nucleotides) under uncultured bacterium. RNAcentral describes it as "partial 16S ribosomal RNA". It matches the Rfam family "Bacterial small subunit ribosomal RNA", at positions 28 to 507 of the family's 1533-position model. The record is from RNAcentral.